Molecule: long non-coding RNA, 1418 nt
Organism: Prinia subflava (tawny-flanked prinia)
Lineage: Eukaryota; Metazoa; Chordata; Aves; Passeriformes; Cisticolidae
Exons: 4
Source: RefSeq, a predicted model, not a curated record
AGGUGUCCACAGUCCAUCGGUGACGUCCCCGGCGGGGAGAGUCCUGCAAGCAACAAGAGCAUCUCCACAGUAAGAUGCUGCGGGGAGCUGGCGCCAGCACGUCCUGAAAGCAAGGAAGUAUAUAUCAAAUCUGAGAAAUGCCAGAGUCACAGAAGAGCCAGAUUUCCAGUGUGAUUUAGGCCAGAAUAUAUCCAUCGUCAUAUGAUGAACAAAAAUUAUUGUUUGAAAGAGAGCAGCUUUGUGAUUUGCCAUUCUUCAUUCCUUCUCAAUGGAAAGGCAGCUAUUUUUAAGCAGAACAAAUAAUCAGAAGAAACGAAACUCAUGGAAUGGAAAGGGAGUCACUGUGGUGGAAAGGAAGAGUGAGAGAAGGUGUUUCAGAGUCAGCUGCUGAAAACAAAAAGAAAAAAGCAUUAAUUCAAUAUCCCAAGUCAAAUCAUAUGUAUUUAAUAUUCAGUGUUAUUGAUCACAGGUUCCAAUAUACCUUGUUGUAGGAAACAAUGUAAUGAACAAUGUAAUGCAAAACACUUCAAAUUUGAUAACUGAGAAUGGAAAACUUUGAAUGGAAUUGUAGAAGGUGCUGCAAACAUUGAUGAAGGUGAAUAUUAAAACAGGUAUUUCCAUUCAGGUAGAGUUAUUUGAAAGAGAGUAAAUUCAAUUACAUAGCACCUCCUUAUAUCAGAAGUUAUCAAAAGACUAUUUCAAAGCCAUUGCCAUUUACAUAUGGCUUUCAAACAAUGAGCAGGCUCCAAAUAUUCUGGGCUGGUGCUGGCAGGCAGAGCAUCAGCCCUCAUGUCUUCAAAAAUAACAUACCAAUAUAUCUUCUGAAAGCAACAGUGUAAGUGCCACCAAUUUUAUUUUAUAAAUAUGGUAAUUCAAAGCAUUUUGAAUAAUUUCAAGUUAAAUGUCUGCAUCCAAGUCCUGCAAGAUGGCAAGACAAGCUGUUAAGUCAUUUAUGUUCUAACCUGCAGUCAACUCUGUAACAACCACCACCUCCCCACCAUAUUUUAAAAACCUCAAAGUUUAUUUCAGGUUUUGCUUGAAUUUCAAAACUAAUUUGUUUUCCCACUUGAUGAACAGGUUGCCUUUAAACCUCAAAAAGGGUUUAAGGCUUUUUUACCUCCCAGACAUUUUUUUUUCUUUCCAAGUUUAAAACUUGGACUUCUGCUAGACAUGUAUCUUGUAAAGGCCUUUAGAAGAACUGACAAUAUACAGACAUCAAAUAAGUAUCAACAAAGAGAUUUAAAGAGUCUGAUGUAUUUCAUGCAUAUUUAUUCUAGAAUGCCCAACAUUUGUAAAAUAUGGAAGUAAAUGUGAAUAUUUACACACUCAAAAUGUACUAGCUACCCCUUUCCAUAAUUCUGGGAGAUUGGGAUGUGAGGAAAAAAAAUACAUCUAUUAAAGCUAAAAUUAAAUUUUAU